RNAcentral lists this unclassified non-coding RNA (227 nucleotides) under Hevea brasiliensis (rubber tree). Lineage: Eukaryota; Viridiplantae; Streptophyta; Magnoliopsida; Malpighiales; Euphorbiaceae. The record is from RNAcentral.
UCAACCAAAACAUGGAACUAAUUCUGAUAUUUAUUCCCAUUCAUAAUACCAGUAGCAGGAAACCGUUGGAAGCUGAUGAGAUUUUUAAUUUGAGUACAAGAAAAAGCAACUUAGCCAUGACUGAGCAUGGUAUAAGUAUGGGCUUUGUUGACUAAGCAAAAGGCAUUCUUUUGCUUAUAAAAUGGAAGCAUCUGCUAGAAUAAGAGCGCAGAGAGAUAAUGUGCAAG